Molecule: RNase P RNA, 325 nt
Filed under: Thermoplasmata archaeon
Lineage: Archaea; Methanobacteriati; Thermoplasmatota; Thermoplasmata
Also listed under: 1 other name
Description: RNase P RNA component
Rfam family: Archaeal RNase P
About the family: Ribonuclease P (RNase P) is a ubiquitous endoribonuclease, found in archaea, bacteria and eukarya as well as chloroplasts and mitochondria. Its best characterised activity is the generation of mature 5'-ends of tRNAs by cleaving the 5'-leader elements of precursor-tRNAs.
Source: RNAcentral
GGGAGGGGGAGGGUGGCUGACGGUGCCCGAAAGGGCGCUCAGGAAAGUCCCCCCUCCGCAAGAUAGGGGGCCCGGGGCAACCCGGGGGCCCGAGAGGGUCGGCAACGGAGCAGAAACGACACCGCCCGCACCAAAUGGGAUGAUGGGGGAUAAGCCCCUGACGUCGGCGCGGGAAAGGUUGAAACGGCCGUCCCCCCCGGAGCAAGUCCAAAGGACCGGGAUGAGUGUCUUGCGACCGGUAGGUGGGACGCUCAGUCAAAUGCCACCAGCCUUCCGUUCCGCAAGGGACGGAGGGGGAACAGAAGGGGGCUUACUCCCCCCACCC